GAGACUCUGUGCGCGUGCAUAUCAAUAAGCGGAGGAAAAGAAACUAACUAGGAUUCCCUCAGUAACGGCGAGUGAAGCGGGAAGAGCUCAAAUUUGAAAUCUUCAAGGUUCUACCUUGACGAAUUGUAGUUUAAAGAAGUGUUUUCUGUUGGAGUUUUGGUAAAAGUUCUUUGGAAUAGGACAUCAUAGAGGGUGAGAAUCCCGUAUUUGACCAUUAUUUCCAACUUUGUGAUACACUUUCAAAGAGUCGGAUUGUUUGGGAAUGCAGUCCAAAAUGGGUGGUAAAUUUCAUCUAAAGCUAAAUACUGGCGAGAGACCGAUAGCGAACAAGUACCGUGAGGGAAAGAUGAAAAGAACUUUGAAAAGAGAGUUAAACAGUACGUGAAAUUGUCAAAAGGGAAGCGUUUGACACCAGUGUUGUUUUCUCGAAAAUCAAUUAAAAAUGGUGGGAUUUUGUGUUGUAUUGACUUUAUCAGCUUUCUGCACUUUUUUCCUAUCUUUUUUAAUGCACUUUUCGUUUAACAAGUCAACAUCAAUUUCUUUUGCUGUAAAAGGGUCAUUGGAAGGUGGCUUUCUUUUCGGAGAAAGUGUUUAUAGCCUUGUGCCUCUGCAAUCGGAGAGAUUGAGGUCUGCAGCGUAGAUCCUUCGGGGUUAGAUACGUUUGUGCUAAGUUAUAGCUUUUCAUAGACAACUUGUUGACUAUGUUUAGUCUUGUAGCUUACUCGCUUACGCUAUUUUACCUACGCUUAGGAUGUUGAACUCUAUCACACACAG
RNAcentral lists this ribosomal RNA (774 nucleotides) under uncultured Neocallimastigales. Its description in RNAcentral is "partial large subunit ribosomal RNA". It matches the Rfam family "Eukaryotic large subunit ribosomal RNA", at positions 23 to 628 of the family's 3401-position model. Lineage: Eukaryota; Fungi; Neocallimastigomycota; Neocallimastigomycetes; Neocallimastigales. The record is from RNAcentral.